GGGCGGUUAGCUCAGCUGGUUAGAGCGACUGGUUUACACCCAGUAGGUCGGCGGUUCGAUCCCGUCACCGCCCACCA
Molecule: transfer RNA, 77 nt
Filed under: Blastochloris sulfoviridis
Lineage: Bacteria; Pseudomonadati; Pseudomonadota; Alphaproteobacteria; Hyphomicrobiales; Blastochloridaceae
Also listed under: 2 other names
Description: tRNA-Val
Rfam family: tRNA
About the family: Transfer RNA (tRNA) molecules are approximately 80 nucleotides in length. Their secondary structure includes four short double-helical elements and three loops (D, anti-codon, and T loops). Further hydrogen bonds mediate the characteristic L-shaped molecular structure. tRNAs have two regions of fundamental functional importance: the anti-codon, which is responsible for specific mRNA codon recognition, and the 3' end, to which the tRNAs corresponding amino acid is attached (by aminoacyl-tRNA synthetases). tRNAs cope with the degeneracy of the genetic code in two manners: having more than one tRNA (with a specific anti-codon) for a particular amino acid; and 'wobble' base-pairing, i.e. permitting non-standard base-pairing at the 3rd anti-codon position.
Source: RNAcentral